Molecule: ribosomal RNA, 289 nt
Filed under: uncultured Psychrobacter sp.
Lineage: Bacteria; Pseudomonadati; Pseudomonadota; Gammaproteobacteria; Moraxellales; Moraxellaceae
Description: partial 16S ribosomal RNA
Source: RNAcentral
CUACAGGGGUUUCUAAUCCUGUUUGCUACCCACGCUUUCGAACCUCAGUGUCAGUAUGAUGCCAGGAGGCUGCCUUCGCCAUCGGUAUUCCUUCAGAUCUCUACGCAUUUCACCGCUACACCUGAAAUUCUACCUCCCUCUCACCUACUCUAGCCCAACAGUAUCAGAUGCAGUUCCCAGGUUAAGCCCGGGGAUUUCACAUCUGACUUAUUAAGCCACCUACGCUCGCUUUACGCCCAGUAAUUCCGAUUAACGCUUGCACCCUCUGUAUUACCGCGGCUGCUGGCAC